CUCGGUACUUUGCACGAGUAUAUAAACCUCUUGGGUCAAUCUACGUAUAAAAGAACAUUGCAUGCUCUUAACGUUUGAAAAGUGUGCAAUAUCAGCAUUGCACACAGAGAAUUAAACCGUGGCAAAAACGUGUUCCAGGACAAACACUUGAGCAUAUUACAUCACAGGGAAAAGAAAGCAGGCAGGAGCGCUGGGCUUUGACCCAGGCCAUAUCCCAGAUUCCCAACGUCGAUCCUAUAACGCCAAUUCAAGUAAAUUCUCUACUCAUGAUUCUUCAAAGGUCUUCAGACCAACAACAAAGAUCCUAUAACGUCAAUUCAAGUAAAUUCUCAACUCAUGAUUCUUCAAAGGUCUUCAGACCAACAACAAAUUUCCGCACACUACAUACUCAAAAAGGGGGAAAAACGAAUAAGCAAAGGUAUAGCAGGGAUUUGUAAGUUCAGGCCACCAACACAACCCUCUACAGACCCAGGCAUCUAUGCUUACGAGGUGUAC
This 495-nucleotide long non-coding RNA is filed under the name Setaria italica (foxtail millet). Its description in RNAcentral is "long non-coding RNA (SITA_LNC005415)". Lineage: Eukaryota; Viridiplantae; Streptophyta; Magnoliopsida; Poales; Poaceae. The record is from RNAcentral.